This 1179-nucleotide long non-coding RNA is filed under the name Lactuca sativa (garden lettuce). Its description in RNAcentral is "long non-coding RNA (LSAT_LNC002214)". The record is from RNAcentral. Lineage: Eukaryota; Viridiplantae; Streptophyta; Magnoliopsida; Asterales; Asteraceae.
AAAUAAGAUAAAUCCUCAUUAUGCUUCUCAAAACCCUAAAUUCUAUUUUCUGCAAAACCUUAUUCUUCAGUUUCUGUUAUUAUCUAGUAACCAAAUCGCCAAUAUACUGACAAAUUUCUCUAUUUCAAUUUAGGAACAAUUCUCACUAAUUUCAGAUUUUUCACAACUCUGGUACACAAAGAUGUCUUAAUACAUUAGGGUGAAAUUCCUAUUCUAAGAAAAUUUAUACUCAAAAUUGACUUUUAAUCAUUUAAUUGUAACAUUUAUUGAUAUUCAUUAGCAAAUGGAUAAAAAAACCUAGGAGAUCCAUAGCCUAUUCACGAUCAGAACUCAUUCAUUCAAGACACCCAAUUAAUUCACUUGUGAUUACCAUGUUUCAGCAAUUUCAUGUAAAUUAAUCUAUGGCUUCUACAGUAUUAUGCAUUGAAACAAACACCGACAUCGAAGAUAAAAUCUUAAAAAUCACUUAACAUACAUAUACAGACUCUUUUCUUUUCUAUUAGAUGUUAAAAAUAUCAAAGAAAUUAGAAGGAAAAAUACUCAAGAAGUUCAAUAACACUUUCAAUUUAAGUCAAUAAGUGAUGAACGUACCAUUUUUUGAGGAAUAAUUGACAAAUAUCCAAUAUCCAACCAACAACUAUGGGUGAAACGAUGUAGCUGAUAUCACGCAACAGUGAAUGCAAAAUUCAACCCUAAGGUUAACAUCUAAUGACCACCUUCAAAUAACCAAUCUGAAAUCGAAAAUCAGAAAUAGGAAAAUCAGUUUAACUUACACCUUUCUCUGGUAGCCUCCGAUUAGCCUCUCCGGUGGUGCAUCAGCGGCCGACCUACCUGUUUUUUGUUCCCGUCAACACACAUCAACAUAGAGGAAUCGAGAAUCGAUAUCCCUUUUAAUGACCACCUUCAAAUAACCAAUCUGAAAUCGGAAAUCAGAAAUAGGAAAAUUAGUUUAACUUACACCUUUCUCUGGUAGCCUCCGAUUAGCCUCUCUGGUGGUGCAUCGGCGGCCGACCUCCCUGUUUUUUGUUCCCGUCAACACACAUCAACAUAGAGGAAUCGAGAAUCGGUAUCCCUUUGCAUCGUUACUUUUGAGCUGUAUAAUUUUUUUCCUUUAUAUCCGAUGUAUCACAGCACCAAAGAACCGACAACUGGUGAGAAGUUGUGUCAACGACUCUGCGA